This 73-nucleotide transfer RNA is filed under the name Fasciola gigantica. It matches the Rfam family "tRNA". Rfam says of the family: Transfer RNA (tRNA) molecules are approximately 80 nucleotides in length. Their secondary structure includes four short double-helical elements and three loops (D, anti-codon, and T loops). The record is from Rfam by way of RNAcentral. Lineage: Eukaryota; Metazoa; Platyhelminthes; Trematoda; Plagiorchiida; Fasciolidae.
ACAGUGACACCUCAGUCGAUAGAGUAUCUGCCUGGUACGCAGACUGUCGCCGGUUCGACUCCGGCUCGUGGCG